UGCCAGCCGCCGCGGUAAGACGGAGGUGGCAAACGUUGCUCGGAAUCACUGGGCUUAAAGGGCGUGUAGGCGGCUAGCUAAGUCGGAUGUGAAAGACCUCGGCUUAACCGAGGAACUGCAUUCGAUACUGGCUAGCUAGAGUGCGAGAGGGGCAAGUGGAACUCCAGGUGUAGCGGUGAAAUGCGUAGAUAUCUGGAGGAACGCCGGUGGCGAAAGCGACUUGCUGGCUCGCAACUGACGCUGAGGCGCGAAAGCUAGGGUAGCGAACGGGAUUAGAUA
This 279-nucleotide ribosomal RNA is filed under the name uncultured bacterium. RNAcentral's name for it is "partial 16S ribosomal RNA". It matches the Rfam family "Bacterial small subunit ribosomal RNA", at positions 506 to 784 of the family's 1533-position model. The record is from RNAcentral.